This 406-nucleotide ribosomal RNA is filed under the name uncultured bacterium. RNAcentral's name for it is "partial 16S ribosomal RNA". It matches the Rfam family "Bacterial small subunit ribosomal RNA", at positions 30 to 526 of the family's 1533-position model. The record is from RNAcentral.
AUUGAACGCUGGCGGCAGGCCUAACACAUGCAAGUCGAACGAGUGGCGGACGGGUGAGUAAUGUAUGGGAAACUGCCUGAUGGAGGGGGAUAACUACUGGAAACGGUAGCUAAUACCGCAUACCAUCAGAUGUGCCCAGAUGGGCUUAGCUAGUAGGUGGGGUAACGGCUCACCUAGGCGACUAUCCCUAGCUGGUCUGAGAGGAUGACCAGCCAAGCUGGAACUUAGACAGGGACCAGACUCCUACGGGAGGCAGCAGUGGGGAAUAUUGCACAAUGGGCGCAAGCCUGAUGCAGCAAUGCCGCGUGUAUGAAGAAGGCCUUCGGGUUGUAAAGUACUUUCAGCGGGGAGGCGUUACCCGCAGAAGAAGCACCGGCUAACUCCGUGCCAGCAGCCGCGGUAAUUC